UAAGCUAGCUAGACUCUCAAUCAAAGGACAAGACCUUCUUAGUUCUCAGCCACUCAGUGUAUACUGAAGGAAAAAAAGAAAAAAAAGUAAAGGAAAAUGGAAGGUGGGUCUGCUGCUACUUCGAAUGGAAAUGAAGACAGCACAGAGAAAGGCUUGGAUCUUCCACUGAAUCGCCAUGGAAACUUGAAAAGUGCUUUCAGUGAUUAAAGCCUCAAGGACAUUCUUCUCCAAAUUAAGUCUUCCAAAACCCCUCUUCUGAGUGGGUCAAGGGGAAGCAAUUGGAAGAAGUUGUGACCAUUAAAAAACACAUAUGGGAUUGGUGGCAAAAAGAUAGCUUUUGUGGGACUAUUUGAACUCAAAUAAUUUUCUGUAAAGUUUGGAAGCUAAGACAUCAUUUGUAUAUAAAUAGUUGUAAUUACUUUGUGAACAUCUUUAUUGCAUUUUUAGAUUGUAUGGA
This is a long non-coding RNA of Quercus robur (English oak), 457 nucleotides long. RefSeq lists it as uncharacterized. The record is from RefSeq and is a predicted model, not a curated record. NCBI's taxonomy places the organism in Eukaryota, Viridiplantae, Streptophyta, Magnoliopsida, Fagales, Fagaceae. The transcript has 3 exons.